UCGCUGCAAAGAUUAACCCCCCAUCAAAUUCCGAAGCGGGCGCUAUACCUGGCGGUGGAACCAAGCGGCCUCUAGAGGAUAGCAUGGACAGGAAUGAUGGCUCACCAGACGCCAAGAAACUGGCCGCCGUGAAUGACCCUUUCGGAGCACAGCUAGCGGCACUGGCUCAAGAGG
Molecule: long non-coding RNA, 174 nt
Organism: Rhipicephalus sanguineus (brown dog tick)
Lineage: Eukaryota; Metazoa; Arthropoda; Arachnida; Ixodida; Ixodidae
Exons: 3
Source: RefSeq, a predicted model, not a curated record